AAUCUGAUUUAGAUUUCAGGGUUUCAGAGUAGGGCUGGGCGAUUUGGAGAAAAUCAGAUAUUGCGAUAUUCUUGUCCUAAUACCUCGAUGUUGAUAUUGUGGCAAUAUUAUAGGGUUGACAAUUGGUGCUUUAACAAAAUACUUUCACAAUGAGAUUUUAGAUAAAUAAUUUUCAUUAAUGUAGAUAUAAUGACUAAGUGGGUAAAGGU
Long non-coding RNA from Etheostoma cragini (Arkansas darter), 209 nucleotides. RefSeq lists it as uncharacterized. The transcript is spliced from 4 exons. The record is from RefSeq and is a predicted model, not a curated record. Lineage: Eukaryota; Metazoa; Chordata; Actinopteri; Perciformes; Percidae.